Mus musculus (house mouse) is the source of this 412-nucleotide long non-coding RNA. RefSeq annotates it as predicted gene, 40485. The transcript has 4 exons. The record is from RefSeq and is a predicted model, not a curated record. NCBI's taxonomy places the organism in Eukaryota, Metazoa, Chordata, Mammalia, Rodentia, Muridae.
AUGGAGAGCUGUGUGGUCUAACUUCCCCUCUACACUCUGGAAUUUCUGCAAAACAGACACAGUAGAUGGCGAUCCCUUCAACAGAAUGAAUCAAAGAGCAAAUAAUCCAGACAGAAUAGCAAGUCUGUUCCUUCACUGGCAUCGGACUCUACUUCUUCAGGAGUCCAGCAUAGACUGAAGAGGAGCUGAGACACCCAGACUCGACAUUGAGCAACUGCUGCCAUUCAUAGCCAGCCACUGUUAGACUAGCUGGACUACAGCCUGAACACCACACUGGUUCAUUACAUUGAAGACAAAAAUACUGUCUGGACCGAGUGAACACAAGUCCUAUUGCGUGAACUUUCCUGUGAAGAUGUAGACAAAUAUCUACUUACCCAGGUCUCCAGCAGAAGGUGUGGCCCAGAUUAAAGGU